Molecule: ribosomal RNA, 142 nt
Filed under: Columba livia (rock pigeon)
Lineage: Eukaryota; Metazoa; Chordata; Aves; Columbiformes; Columbidae
Description: partial 16S ribosomal RNA
Source: RNAcentral
UUGGGUCUGGUCACUAUUAGUACGUUGAGGGGUUGCUCUUAGUUAAGAGGUGGUGGUCUUGUUUUGGAGGGUGUGUUUUUCUCCAAGGUCGCCCCAACCGAAAAAUGCGAGCCAGAGUUUUGUUGAAGGUGGGCCUGGUAGG